Non-coding RNA from Gasterosteus aculeatus aculeatus (three-spined stickleback), 1419 nucleotides. The record is from RefSeq and is a predicted model, not a curated record. NCBI's taxonomy places the organism in Eukaryota, Metazoa, Chordata, Actinopteri, Perciformes, Gasterosteidae.
UGUUGAUGACGUCAUUCCCAUGCAGGCGCGAACGCGCCGAAAGAUAACGGCUGGGACUAAGUAUAAAGUAUUAAAAAUGGAGACAUCAGCGUUCCGCUAUGUCCUACUUGAAUGGACUGAGGGUGAUGAUCGUGGGGCGCAUAGUAUUUUGGCGAUGGACUGUGUCCGGAACUUUUCAGUUCAAGAUUUUUUUGCCUCGACUGAACAAAACGAGAAGCUGGUGGAAUGACGAAAAGGCCGCCAACCCUGGCCGGUUCACCGAGCCAAAAUUGUUGACGUGGCAAAAUUUGAAAAACCUCUCCAAAUUAAACUGCGUGAGAUUGAGGUGGAGAAAGAGGGCACACAAACAAAACGUCCUCACAUCCCAAACUCAAAGUACAUUGAGCAGCAGGGGAAGACUGAGAAGGCUUCAAAAAAAAAGGUAACUGACUGCACCAAUUGGUGCUUUAGUUCAAGUUAUCUCCCCUCUCUUGUUUCUUAAUGUGUAGGCAUGUUUGUAGAUUUGUAAUUGUGUCAUCUUUGAUGAUUUAAUGUGCUUUGACAAGAUAUAUGUGCAAGCUGGUGUAACGCAAGUUAAUAAGAGUUGAGCUAAAAGUCAGUCUGUGUCUUUCUGUCGGUUGACAAUAAAAAGGGAGGGUCUUCCAAAUACAAGCACCAGGAGGGUGAGAAGCAGGAGGAGGGUCAUGACAGACUUUCAAAGAACAAGGUUGCCGUGAAAAAGAAAAAUCUUUCUAAAUACGAGGAGGAGGAGGAGGAGGAAGUGGAUGAUGAGGCACGUCAUGACACAAAGAACAAGCGGGCCAGAGAAGAGGAGGAGCAUAUUGGGGAUGAAGACGACAAAGUACCAGCCUCAAAGAAAAAGAGUGCUGCUGAAUUUAGAAAGCAACUGGACGAACAGAUGUGGGAGAGAAAAAAAAUUGAACAAAUGCAAAGAAAUUUGCAGGAGUUGCGAAAUGAAGUUCAGUCUCUCAAAAGUGAAAAUGCACAUCUGAAAGAUGUUCUGGAAUGGGAAGCAACCUGAAUGGUACAAAAACAUGUUGCUAAUCUCUUCUGUCCUUAAAAAAACAAAAAACAAGUCAGUCAUAUUCUGUGUAAUGAAUCAUGUUUGUGUGCGGGCAUACCAUCGCUUUUGUACUUGCCAUUUUUGUAUUUCCUUGCACCUCAAGAAAACGUAAUGUGUGUGUGUUACGACCCCCUGGAUGGUCUAGGGGUGCGGGGACCAUAAACAUAUAGGCAGAACCUGGUCGGGUGUAAAAGGGUAGUAUUUAUUGGCAACCAGAGGUAAACAGGCACGUAACAACAAACAAAAGGAGGGUGGAUGAGGGUGCUGUGAAAAGACAAACUAAGUAAAAUAAAAGAGAUCCCCAAAAGGAGAACUAUGCCUGAAUAUACGUUAAAACAAACAGUAGGCGCUUACCA